AGUGAACGCUGGCGGUAGGCCUAACACAUGCAAGUCGAACGGCAGCACAGUAAGAGCUUGCUCUUACGGGUGGCGAGUGGCGGACGGGUGAGGAAUACAUCGGAAUCUACUUUUUCGUGGGGGAUAACGUAGGGAAACUUACGCUAAUACAGCAUACGACCUACGGGUGAAAGCAGGGGAUCUUCGGACCUUGCGCGAUUGAAUGAGCCGAUGUCGGAUUAGCUAGUUGGCGGGGUAAAGGCCCACCAAGGCGACGAUCCGUAGCUGGUCUGAGAGGAUGAUCGGCCACACUGGAACUGAAACACGGUCCAGACUCCUACGGGAGGCAGCAGUGGGGAAUAUUGGACAAUGGGCGCAAGCCUGAUCCAGCCAUACCGCGUGGGUGAAGAAGGCCUUCGGGUUGUAAAGCCCUUUUGUUGGGAAAGAAAAGCAGCAGGUUAAUACCCCGCUGUUCUGACGGUACCCAAAGAAUAAGCACCGGCUAACUUCGUG
This 492-nucleotide ribosomal RNA is filed under the name uncultured bacterium. RNAcentral's name for it is "partial 16S ribosomal RNA". It matches the Rfam family "Bacterial small subunit ribosomal RNA", at positions 29 to 507 of the family's 1533-position model. The record is from RNAcentral.